GCCAAGGUUCUUCUUAGAACCAUUAAUCCACAAAGUAUGUAGCCAU
This is a non-coding RNA of Myotis lucifugus (little brown bat), 46 nucleotides long. Lineage: Eukaryota; Metazoa; Chordata; Mammalia; Chiroptera; Vespertilionidae. The record is from Rfam.